Molecule: non-coding RNA, 3748 nt
Organism: Oryctolagus cuniculus (rabbit)
Lineage: Eukaryota; Metazoa; Chordata; Mammalia; Lagomorpha; Leporidae
Source: RefSeq, a predicted model, not a curated record
AGGAAGUCAUAAUGAUGAUACACAGAACUGCAUGAAAUAAGGCAACAAGCAGCAAGAUGAAUAUUUUCCAGUUAGUAUAACACCUUCCGGGUUGAUUGUCUUUAAUUAGCAAGCACUGCAACAUUAUAUUUACUAGAGAAAAAUACACUGACUGAUAGCUCUUUUUAUGUUUGUCUUUGAUAGAAUACCAUUAACUAACAUCGUCAUUCCAUUACUCUGGAUGCCAAGAACACCACCACAUCAACAUAAAGCUAAGAUGCAGCCAUGAAACUCUGAAGCUUGAAGGAAGACAGAGAAAAUGAAGACAGAGAAAAGCCUUAAGGAUUGUACCAUGGGUACUCCAAUAUCUAGAAAGAGGUGAGGAGGAAGAAAAACAAAGCUGUGGGGAGCAAUCCGGACGGGACUAAGUUACUGGAAUUAGGACUUAUUCUAUGCAUCUGGUCUCCCACAAUAUGGCGCUGGGAGAGAAGAAAACAGCUUCUGCACAGCUGCCUCCAGUUCAGCCAAUAAACUGUAGGACUUGCUCCUGAUUGGAGGAGAGCAGCGUACUCGGCGUGUGGGCAGCCGAGUUAGGAUUGGCGGAGGAGGACUAUAAAGGGGGAGGGAGACGGCAUGCACCGGGAACAUCUAAGGGGAACAUCUAAGGGGAACGCCUGUGUAGCCCCCGAGAGAGCCGGCCGGCGGUGUGCUGCUCCCCUGCGGAAGUGGGGAAUGUGGCCAGGGGGAACCGCCCUUCCACGGAGGUGGAAGGGACAGUAGCCAACCCGGGAAGAACCAGCAGCAAACCCGGGGAGGGCCGAGCAGACGAAAGAACAGCGCAGGAUCCUGUGUCGUUCCUCCACGAAGACGGGGAGCGACAUAAUGGUGCCGUGACUCGGAUAGGAAACCUAGGAUGGAUAGGAAACUUAGGAGGGAAGAAACGGGAAGAACUGGGAAAAUACCGGAGAGAGAGACUAGCAAACAGCCUAGGGAAAAGCCGGACGAAAAAGGUGCCGGAAGAAGCUAUUGAAAGCCUAGGCAUAGACUCAGAUACGGACUACAGGGGGAAGCUGGGAGAAAUCUCUAAGGUCGAAAGCGAAAGUGAAAGCUAGAACAAACAGACUCGGAUGCGGACUGUGGGGAGAGGCCAGGAGAAAUGAGGGAGGAAUAUUGUUGGAAGAAAGCUUGGGGAAACAUACCGGGUAGAGAAAAAUGUUAGGGAAAUUGAAGCCGCGGGGGGCAGGCCGAGGCGGAGACGAAAGCCACUUUGGGAUUCUCAAGUUAGCCCGGGAAUAGGGGGCGAAAAGUUGAAACCAGAAGCAGAAACGUAAGCCAGAUUGGGAUCUGUCUGAUUAGCCCGGGGAGCAAAGGACGGGAAGCCAAAUCGUGGGGCGGAGACGUGAGCUGGGUUGAAUUCGCCAGGCUAGCCCGGGGAACUUGGAUUGAAUACUAGUGGCGGAGACGCAAGCUACGCUGUGUGACUCGCGGAGGCUGCCGCGCGCAGACAGAGCGUGCGGGGCUCAAGUAGAUAGGGAACGCGGGGCUAGUGAGACACCGCAGAGUGUGCGCGCGAAGCCGAGCCGCGCAGAGCCGCGAAGCCGCGCAGAUGAGAGAGGCGCGGGCUGAAGCGGCUCAGAGCCGGAAAGCCGCGGAGAAGCAGCCUCGGGGCGGGCACCGGAAAGCCGCAGGGAUAAGAGAAACAGAAGUUUAGAAGUAAAAUGAGAGAAAUAGGAAUGCUGGAAGAUAGAAGUAAAAUGGGAGAAAUAGGAAUGCCCGGAGAUAGAGAAAUAGAGAAAUAGAAAGGCCUCCCCUCAACAUGGCAAUGAGAAAGCUUGGAUUCGGUCUGCCCGAUUAGUGAGGCGAUGAGCACCUGCGGGCGGCUAGCAGCUUAUGCGCCGCAGGUCACCGAAGACCGGCACGAAUUAACAUCAAUAAGGCCUCCCCACAACACAGCAAUGAGAGAGCUUGGAUUCGGUCUGCCUGAUUAAGUGAGGCGAUGAGCACCUGCGGGCGGCUAGCAGCUUAUGCGCCGCAGGUCACCGAAGACAGGCACGAAUUAACAUCAGUAAGGCCUCCCCACAAUACAGCAAUUAGGAGGCUUGGAUUCGGUCUGCCUGAUUAAGGCGGUAAGCACCAGCAGGCGGCUCGACCAGAGUGUGAGCCGCAGGUCACCGAACACAGGCACGCAUCAGCGCCUAAAAACCUCCUCACAACAUGGCGAAGAGAGGACUUGUAAGAACCUGUGGCAACUCUAGCAAGUAGAGCAGAGUGUGUGCCGCGGGACACCGAAGACAGGCGCGUAUCAACGCCAAAAAUAAAAAGAAAGGGGGAUCUGUGGGGAGCAAUCCGGACGGGACUAAGUUACUGGAAUUAGGACUUAUUCUAUGCAUCUGGUCUCCCACAAUAUGGCGCUGGGAGAGAAGAAAACAGCUUCUGCACAGCUGCCUCCAGUUCAGCCAAUAAACUGUAGGACUUGCUCCUGAUUGGAGGAGAGCAGCGUACUCGGCGUGUGGGCAGCCGAGUUAGGAUUGGCGGAGGAGGACUAUAAAGGGGGAGGGAGACGGCAUGCACCGGGAACAUCUAAGGGGAACAUCUAAGGGGAACGCCUGUGUAGCCCCCGAGAGAGCCGGCCGGCGGUGUGCUGCUCCCCUGCGGAAGUGGGGAAUGUGGCCAGGGGGAACCGCCCUUCCACGGAGGUGGAAGGGACAGUAGCCAACCCGGGAAGAACCAGCAGCAAACCCGGGGAGGGCCGAGCAGACGAAAGAACAGCGCAGGAUCCUGUGUCGUUCCUCCACGAAGACGGGGAGCGACACAAAGCCAAGGAAGGAAGGAAGGGAAGGAAAGAAAAAGUGCUUUGUGUUGUAAAGUAAAAUAUCAGAGUUCAUGUCACACAAUUUUAACUCAAAGUAUGAAUAAACAAAUUCAAAAUUUAUAAAAAGAGAAAAAGAAAAUAUGACCAGUAGACAUAUUUUAUUAUGCAAUCUUCAUUAUUUGGGAGCUAUUUUCUCAAAAAUUAACAGCAUGAUUCUUCAUAGAAAAUAGCAAAGAGUGUUUAUUGUCAGUGAUAAAAUUUGAAUUUUAAAUGAAAGCUCUAAAUUUAAAAAACUUUAUCUGUCACCAUGAAAUUUUCCCAAGACUUUCCAGAUGACAGCAAUGAUGUCAUGUGGCUUUUUGAUAUUUUAUAAUGAAAUAUGUCAACAUUUGGCAGAUCUAUUUAACUUAGUGAACUAACAUUUUCUAAGUAAUUAGCAUAUGAUGUUACAAAAUCAUACACUGGUGAAAAAUGUCCUUAAAGUAAGAGACCAGUGGAUUUUAAUGUAGCAGAAAAUGAAAAGUUUAUUUAGAUGGCUUCAAAUUUCUCAUUACAUCUGUCUUUUAAGAACCUAUUAUUAGUUUGAGUUUUGGUGCAAUUGUAUCAAAGAAGAAUAUCUGUAAUUAUUUGAAAGCUUUUAAAAUUAUUCUUCCUUUUUCAAUUAUAUAUCUGUAAGUAGGCAAUUUUCUUUAACUAGUUGGACCAAAACAACAUAUCACAACAGACAAUAUAAAGGAAGAUAUGAGAAUCUACCCUUCCAUUAGGCCAGGGAUUAUAGAUUUUCAAAGAAGUGAACAAUGUCAAUAUUAUAUUUGUUUCAUUUUUGAGAAUAUAACUGUUAUCUUAGAAAUUAUUUAUGCUAACAUGGAAUUAUUACUUUUAAUAAAUUUUAAAUGUGCCUAUUUUAAUUUUCAAUAAAAAUAAAUAAAAGCUUUUGAACUUCUUUGAGACCACAAA